This 497-nucleotide ribosomal RNA is filed under the name uncultured bacterium. Its description in RNAcentral is "partial 16S ribosomal RNA". It matches the Rfam family "Bacterial small subunit ribosomal RNA", at positions 28 to 507 of the family's 1533-position model. The record is from RNAcentral.
GAUGAACGCUGGCGGCGUGCCUAAUACAUGCAAGUCGAGCGAACAGACGAGGAGCUUUCUCCUCUGACGGUAGCGGCGGACGGGUGAGUAGCACGUGGAUAACCUACAUAUAAGACUGGGAUAACGGCGUGAAACCGGCGCUAAUACCGUACAAUAUAUUGAACCUCAUGGUUCAAUAAUUGAAGACGGUUUUGCUGUCACGUAUAGAUGGUUCCGCGCCGCAUUAGCUAGUUGGUAAGGUAACGGCUUACUAAGGCUACGAUGCGUAGGCGACAUGAGAGGGUGAACGGCCAGCCUGGAACUGAGACACGGUCCAGACUCCUGAGGGAGGCAGCAGUCGGGAAUCUUACGCAAUGGGGGAAAGACUAACGGAGCAAAGCCGCGUGAGUGAUGAAGGUCUUCUGAUCGUAAAACUAUGUUAUUAGGGAAGAACAAAUGUGUAAGUAACUAUGAACGUCUUGACGGUAACUAAUCAGAAAGCCACGGCUAACUACGUG